CCUACGGGAGGCAGCAGUGAGGAAUCUUGGUCAAUGGCCGUAAGGCUGAACCAGCCAAGUCGCGUGAAGGAAGAAGGAUCUAUGGUUUGUAAACUUCUUUUAUAGGGGAAUAAAGGUAUCCAAGUGUGGAUAUUUGCAUGUACCCUAUGAAUAAGCAUCGGCUAACUCCGUGCCAGCAGCCGCGGUAAUACGGAGGAUGCGAGCGUUAUCCGGAUUUAUUGGGUUUAAAGGGUGCGUAGGUUGUUUUUUAAGUCAGCGGUGAAAGUUUGUGGCUCAACCAUAAAAUUGCCGUUGAAACUGGAAGACUUGAGUGUGUUUGAGGUAGGCGGAAUGCGUGGUGUAGCGGUGAAAUGCAUAGAUAUCACGCAGAACUCCGAUUGCGAAGGCAGCUUACUAAGCCAUAACUGACACUGAAGCACGAAAGCGUGGGGAUCGAACAGGAUUAGAUACCCUUGUAGUC
This 460-nucleotide ribosomal RNA is filed under the name uncultured bacterium. Its description in RNAcentral is "partial 16S ribosomal RNA". It matches the Rfam family "Bacterial small subunit ribosomal RNA", at positions 338 to 795 of the family's 1533-position model. The record is from RNAcentral.